GUGCUCGCUUUGGCAGCACAUAUACUAAAAUUGGAAUAAUACAUGCUAAUGCAUGGCUCCUGCGCAAGGAUGACACGCAAAUUCGUGAAGCGUUCCAUAUUUUA
Molecule: small nuclear RNA, 104 nt
Organism: Dromiciops gliroides (monito del monte)
Lineage: Eukaryota; Metazoa; Chordata; Mammalia; Microbiotheria; Microbiotheriidae
Source: RefSeq, a predicted model, not a curated record